RNAcentral lists this unclassified non-coding RNA (351 nucleotides) under Hevea brasiliensis (rubber tree). The record is from RNAcentral. Lineage: Eukaryota; Viridiplantae; Streptophyta; Magnoliopsida; Malpighiales; Euphorbiaceae.
ACAAGCUUAGAAUAAUUUGUAUCUCACUAUCUUUACAUCUGUAUAUAGUUUUGCAUGCACAGUUAGGGUCUAAGCUGCAGGACAAAAUUUGUCCACGUAAGAAAUAUUUUUCAAUAAAUACUUGAAUCAAUUCGAGGAAAACUGUCAUGGCAAUUUUUAAAAAUAAUUUAGUCAUCUUUAUUCAAAAUGGUAAAAAGUUGCAGCACGACAACUCAAAGGAAAGGUUAAGUACCUUCUCUUUUGAUAGGCUUAAGAAAGCUCAAGUUACUUAUAUACUUAUGGACCUCUAGGUACUUAAUGAGUUGGUCUAUACUGAUGCUGCAUUCAUAGUGGAGAUAACGAGACGCUGAU